Molecule: long non-coding RNA, 644 nt
Filed under: Parus major (Great Tit)
Lineage: Eukaryota; Metazoa; Chordata; Aves; Passeriformes; Paridae
Description: lncRNA (ENSPMJG00000006001.1)
Source: RNAcentral
CACACACCAGAGCCCUUCUCCCUUUUUAAUUUAACCUCUGAAUUUAAUGAGUCACCACUGAGAGGGCAGGCCGGGAGCUUUGUGCUCCCAGGAAAUCCUGGAAAACUCCGUGUCCAAGGCUCUGCUUCCCAAGGUGCUGUUUAUUUUUGUGGGCUAUUGAUUUGCUGCCAGGAUGAAGUGGAUUUAAUUUUAACUGAUAGUCCAGUGGUUCAUUGUGGUUUUAAAUUCUUGGUGAGGCUCGUGUUUGCAGGGCCUGGGGAGGGAGGGGAUUCCUCACAAACACCACUGAGCAGGGAAAGUGAAAUAUUUCCCUGUGCGAUCCCUGCACUGCUGCAGCCUAAAGGAGCCUGGGGAAAUAACUCAGAUAUGGAUAAAUGGAGACAUAAAUCCUGCUGUAAAUAGGGAAUAGCACAGGGACAGGUGGAUUUCUCACCUUUUCAGCUCCUUUUGUCUGGCCCUGCAGGCCAGAAGCAGCACAGGACCCCAGAAGGGUUUGGGUGGGAAGGAACCUGCAAACAUCUCAUCCCACCUUCCACCAGAGGCUGGGAAUGUUCCAGAAGAUCUGGACACGAUCCUGUGCCAGCUGGACCCACUGGGGUCUCCUCCAAGCUGAUCCAGUCUGGGAUCUGCUGGUUCUGCUCUGG